This 301-nucleotide ribosomal RNA is filed under the name uncultured bacterium. RNAcentral's name for it is "partial 16S ribosomal RNA". It matches the Rfam family "Bacterial small subunit ribosomal RNA", at positions 509 to 809 of the family's 1533-position model. The record is from RNAcentral.
CAGUAGCCGCGGUAAAACGAGGGGUGCAAGCGUUAUUCGGAUUGAUUGGGUGUAAAGGGUGUGCAGACGGCUUAUUAAGUCACUUGUUAAAUUCUUCGGCCUAACUGAAGGUCUGCAAGUGAUACUGAUGAGCUAGAGGGUGGAAGAGAGAAGUGGAAUUCUCGGAGUAGCAGUAAAAUGCGUAGAUCUCGAGAGGAACACCAAUGGCGAAGGCAGCUUCUUGGUCCAUUCCUGACGUUCAUACACGAAAGCGUUGGGAGCAAACAGGAUUAGAUACCCGAGUAGUCCCUGUCUCUUAUAU